RNAcentral lists this unclassified non-coding RNA (206 nucleotides) under fungal sp. RNAcentral's name for it is "partial internal transcribed spacer region". The stretch from base 1 to 46 matches the Rfam family "Eukaryotic small subunit ribosomal RNA", at positions 1786 to 1831 of the family's 1831-position model. The record is from RNAcentral. Lineage: Eukaryota; Fungi.
AAGUCGUAACAAGGUUUCCGUAGGUGAACCUGCGGAAGGAUCAUUACCGAUCAAAACACCGGGGUUUAUACCCUUUUGCUUGUGGAUUGACAACGUCACUUGGGGGUUCGAGCAUUCGGCCCCCAGCAUUAUUAAACUCUUCUAAAUUCACAGUCAAUUAAACAAGUUAAUAAACACAACUUGUAGCGAUGGAUCUCUUGGCUCUG